UACGUAGGGUGCGAGCGUUGUCCGGAAUUAUUGGGCGUAAAGAGCUCGUAGGCGGCUUGUCACGUCGGUUGUGAAAGUCCGGGGCUCAACUCCGGAUCUGCGGUGGGUACGGGCAGACUAGAGUGAUGUAGGGGAGACUGGAAUUCCUGGUGUAGCGGUGAAAUGCGCAGAUAUCAGGAGGAACACCGGUGGCGAAGGCGGGUCUCUGGGCCGUAACUGACGCUGAGGAGCGAAAGCGUGGGGAGCGAACAGG
RNAcentral lists this ribosomal RNA (253 nucleotides) under uncultured bacterium. RNAcentral's name for it is "partial 16S ribosomal RNA". It matches the Rfam family "Bacterial small subunit ribosomal RNA", at positions 524 to 776 of the family's 1533-position model. The record is from RNAcentral.